CGCCUUCCCCCGCGCGUCCCGGCCGGUGGUCGGCGGCGGCGCGCACCGUGGGGCAGGGCUGCGGCAGCGGCUCCUCUGGUUUCUCCCAGGGAAGAAACCCCCAGCCGCGGGACGGGUUUCUCCGCGCCGGCCGCGGCUGUGCGGCUCUGCGGCCACAGGGUUCCUCUUUCAACUUAAGCCUCUGUUUACCUUUAUUCUGAAGUCUUUGAAGUGAUUGAUUUCACCUGGUGAAGUAGCAUUUUGCUGCACAUUAGUUGCACUGCAACUGGAUUGCUUGUGCACUAAGACUUUGUUAUUUCAGAGUGUGAUUGAAAAGGAAGCUGGGAAGGCUGAGGCAGAUUGUACUUCCUAUGCUGAGAAGCAUGGACGGACUCAUCCUAUACACAAUAGACAGAGCUUGAUGCAAGAAGAACUUUGAAACAUUUGGUAGAGCCACAUGCGACUGAUCAAAAUAUUCACCCUAAGCACACAAAACAUGAAUGUUAAGAUUUGUUGGAGACGGGACUCACUUGCAGCAGAACAUGGCUUUAUCAGAACUCAGGAGACCCUUCCAACAGAAGUUGUUCUAGCAGCACAAACACU
Harpia harpyja (harpy eagle) is the source of this 582-nucleotide long non-coding RNA. RefSeq lists it as uncharacterized. NCBI's taxonomy places the organism in Eukaryota, Metazoa, Chordata, Aves, Accipitriformes, Accipitridae. The record is from RefSeq and is a predicted model, not a curated record. The transcript has 4 exons.